UGGACUCAAGACUCGUCCAUCAAAGAAAGCGAUAUGUGCACUAAUCUCAGCGGAUCGAUCACCGUCCUCGUGAUGAUCCAUCGAUCAGGAGCAAUUCAGAAAUUAAUCACCAAUGACACAUGCCUCAAAUUCUCAACUCUUGAGAAUAUGCAUCAUUAUAUUAUUAAUUUCUUGGACGAUUCAUGGACACAUAAGAACAUGAAUGAAAAGAAUGCCCAACUUAAUAAAUUCAUAAUUAGGUCAAGUACAAAUUUAUGUCCCAGAAUAAAAUAAUGCGUCAGCCAAAUUGGCUUCUAGGGCAUACUUCUAACAACAAAUGGGUGCAUUGACACAUAAUUAAAAAUAAGUCUCAAUUUAUUCAUUAAAUCUAGUAUAAGGUUUAACAUUCUACAUCGUGUAUCAAAAUUAUCUUUUUAUGAAAUUACGAUACUCUCUGCAUCAAAGUUCUUAAAUGCCUCAUAUGUUGAAUUUUUAUCUCAACGAUCUUAGCAUAAAAUUUUUCUAGUGCUUGCAUGAUAAUAAAAAAAAUAAUGAAUGAAUAUGUAUAACCUUCUCCUUUAAGUUUUUCAAAAUCUAAAUUUCUUCUCUAAUAAAAAUGGUUGAUGCUGAUUUCAUGCUAAAACUUUAUUGAGCAUAAUACUUAUGAAAUCUUAGGUUAUCCUUCGUGAAGGUAUGAAUGUAAUUCAUCAUGUUAUUAUACCAUUCAUU
This 708-nucleotide long non-coding RNA is filed under the name Phoenix dactylifera (date palm). RNAcentral describes it as "long non-coding RNA (PDAC_LNC019132)". The record is from RNAcentral. Lineage: Eukaryota; Viridiplantae; Streptophyta; Magnoliopsida; Arecales; Arecaceae.